Molecule: ribosomal RNA, 301 nt
Filed under: uncultured bacterium
Lineage: Bacteria
Description: partial 16S ribosomal RNA
Rfam family: Bacterial small subunit ribosomal RNA
Source: RNAcentral
CAGCAGCCGCGGUAAUACGAAGGGGGCUAGCGUUGCUCGGAAUGACUGGGCGUAAAGCGCACGUAGGCGGCUUUGUAAGUUAGAGGUGAAAGCCUGGGGCUCAACUCCAGAAUUGCCUUUAAGACUGCAUCGCUUGAACGUCGGAGAGGUGAGUGGAAUUCCGAGUGUAGAGGUGAAAUUCGUAGAUAUUCGGAAGGAACACCUGUGGCGAAAGCGGCUCACUGGACCAUUACUGACGCUGAGGCGCGAAAGCUAGGGGAGCAAACAGGAUUAGAUACCCCGGUAGUCCCUGUCUCUUAUA